Pelobates cultripes (western spadefoot toad) is the source of this 207-nucleotide non-coding RNA. Lineage: Eukaryota; Metazoa; Chordata; Amphibia; Anura; Pelobatidae. The record is from the annotation of a GenBank genome assembly.
CACGCACAGAGUGGUACAGGUUUUGCUCAAGAAUAUCCCUGUAUUAAGCACCAUCCAUCUUUCCCUUAACCCUGACCAGUUUCCCAGUCCCGGCUGCUGAAAAAUAUCCCCACAGCAUGAUGUUGCCACCACCAUGUUUCACUGUGCAGAUGGUGUUCUUUGGAUGAUGUGAUGUGUUGGGUUUGCGUCAGACAUAGCGUUUUCUUU